ACUCCUACGGGAGGCAGCAGUAGGGAAUCUUCCACAAUGGGCGCAAGCCUGAUGGAGCAACACCGCGUGAGUGAAGAAGGGUUUCGGCUCGUAAAGCUCUGUUGUUAAAGAAGAACACGUAUGAGAGUAACUGUUCAUACGUUGACGGUAUUUAACCAGAAAGUCACGGCUAACUACGUGCCAGCAGCCGCGGUAAUACGUAGGUGGCAAGCGUUAUCCGGAUUUAUUGGGCGUAAAGAGAGUGCAGGCGGUUUUCUAAGUCUGAUGUGAAAGCCUUCGGCUUAACCGGAGAAGUGCAUCGGAAACUGGAUAACUUGAGUGCAGAAGAGGGUAGUGGAACUCCAUGUGUAGCGGUGGAAUGCGUAGAUAUAUGGAAGAACACCAGUGGCGAAGGCGGCUACCUGGUCUGCAACUGACGCUGAGACUCGAAACAUGGGUAGCGAACAGGAUUAGAUACCCUGGUAGGAUAGCG
Molecule: ribosomal RNA, 472 nt
Filed under: uncultured bacterium
Lineage: Bacteria
Description: bacterial SSU rRNA
Rfam family: Bacterial small subunit ribosomal RNA
Source: RNAcentral